UCCGAGAGAGGCCAUGAGAGAAGGCAGUGUGGGGAAUGUUUUUGUACAUAGGUUUUUGGUGUUUUACAAUGGUGCUGUGGUAGGUUUAAAGAAAGUAUUUAGGUAGUUAUAGUAAUGUCAGUAGUGGUUCUUGCACGAAUGAGGGUUGUAGAGGGUGUCUGAUGUGUUGUUCAUGAUGGAUGUCAAUUUGGCCAACAUCCUCCUCCCCGCCACCUCCACAGUAGAGUCCAGGGGACAGGCCACAACUGAAGUGGCCCUCCUGGCAAGUUUGUCCAGUAUACUCCUGUCCCGCUUUGUGCAGCCGCUCCCCCAGCAGACCACAGCACAGAACACUAUAGAGGUUACCACAGUCUCGUAGAACAUCCUGAGCAGGGCCCAGGACACAUUAAAAUACCUGAGUCUCCUCAAAAGAUGUUGGCAAGUCCAGUUUAUUGUUGGGAUGAACAUCUGGGUACUUAUGCUUCACCACUGUCUCAAGCCCUGGAGGUUGGCCGAUGAGGCAGGAGUGGCUGUUCUAUGGAAGUACGUCGCCAUCUCCUUAGUCUUGUUUGCGCAUAUAUUUGUGUGUGCACCAGCCUCUCAGGAGCUGUGCCAUGUUUGUCUGUUUGGUGCUAUUUCUGUUCUUAGCCUCUAGAUGGCGUUUGAACCGGAGGAGAGGUGACAGGUGUUCUCUAUCUCCUUGAUGAUCUGCUGAGGAGUAUUUAAGGAGGAGGCUGCCAGCAACUCACUGCCAGAGUGUUGCCCUUUGUGGUUACCUGAACCUGACUUUGCCUUCAAGCAUCGAACCCAGCCUGGAUUACCGUCUUCUGGAAAGAAACUAUCCAGCUCCACGAACCAAGACUCAAGCCUCCUGUUACCUCAUUGGAUCAAACCAGCUGGCAGUCUCCUGAUUCCUUCGUUCUGUGGAUCUCCCUCUGUGAACCCUGUCCACCCUCCUUCUUCCAUUGCACCAACUACAGAAAUUCUUGGAGCAUCUAUCAUCCUGGCCCACCAGUAUUCACAGUCUCCAGUCCCACGGUUGGUAUCCCGGUUCCAGUUUCCUGCAUAUUUCAACUUCCUGUAAAUAAACUCCUUACCGUUAAA
This is a long non-coding RNA of Girardinichthys multiradiatus, 1083 nucleotides long. RefSeq lists it as uncharacterized. The record is from RefSeq and is a predicted model, not a curated record. NCBI's taxonomy places the organism in Eukaryota, Metazoa, Chordata, Actinopteri, Cyprinodontiformes, Goodeidae. The transcript is spliced from 3 exons.